This is a ribosomal RNA of 733 nucleotides. The stretch from base 311 to 466 matches the Rfam family "5.8S ribosomal RNA".
GCACGCCGGACGACGUCCGCGAGAAGUCCACUGAACCUUAUCAUUUAGAGGGAAGAGAAGUCGUAACAAGGUUUCCGUAGGUGAACCUGCGGAAGGAUCAUUGUCGAUGCCCCCCGAACGGGACGACCCGCGGACCGGUUUGCGAACACCGCCGCCGUCGGGCCCGCGCGCCCGGACGGCCCAACAACCAACCCCCGGCGCCAGUCGCGCCAAGGAAACGGAAAGAACGCGCGCGCGCCCCCGGGCACCCGACCCACGGGAUGCCGUCCGGGGAGCGCCGCGCCACUGUUAUGCCACGCAUACACAGAACGACUCUCGGCAACGGAUAUCUCGGCUCUCGCAUCGAUGAAGAACGUAGCGAAAUGCGAUACUUGGUGUGAAUUGCAGAAUCCCGUGAACCAUCGAGUCUUUGAACGCAAGUUGCGCCCGAAGCCAUCCGGCCGAGGGCACGCCUGCCUGGGCGUCACGCAACGUCGCCCCCACCCCAUCGCGGGCGGGGCGGAGGAUGGCCUCCCGCGAGCACGAGUCUCCCGGCUGGCCGAAAUACCAGCGUGCGAGGGCAGUCGCCACGAUCCACGGUGGGAGGAGCGGAACUCGCUCACUCGAGACCGGCCGUGCGCGAGCUGCCGCCGAGCGACGCUGCGCGACCCACGCGCGCCACGGGCGCUCCCGACGCGACCCCAGGUCAGGCGGGGACACCCGCUGAGUUUAAGCAUAUCAAUAAGCGGAGGAA